AACGAACGCUGGCGGCAGGCCUAACACAUGCAAGUCGAACGCCGUAGCAAUACGGAGUGGCAGACGGGUGAGUAACACGUGGGAACGUACCCUUCGGUUCGGAAUAACUCAGGGAAACUUGAGCUAAUACCGGAUACGUCCGAGAGGAGAAAGAUUUAUCGCCGAGGGAUCGGCCCGCGUCUGAUUAGCUUGUUGGUGAGGUAACGGCUCACCAAGGCGACGAUCAGUAGCUGGUCUGAGAGGAUGAUCAGCCACAUUGGGACUGAGACACGGCCCAAACUCCUACGGGAGGCAGCAGUGGGGAAUAUUGGACAAUGGGCGCAAGCCUGAUCCAGCCAUGCCGCGUGAGUGAUGAAGGCCCUAGGGUUGUAAAGCUCUUUUACCCGGGAAGAUAAUGACUGUACCGGGAGAAUAAGCCCCGGCUAACUUCGUGCCAGCAGCCGCCGUAA
This 449-nucleotide ribosomal RNA is filed under the name uncultured bacterium. RNAcentral describes it as "bacterial SSU rRNA". It matches the Rfam family "Bacterial small subunit ribosomal RNA", at positions 29 to 523 of the family's 1533-position model. The record is from RNAcentral.